AGUGGCGGACGGGUGAGUAACGCGUGAGAAUCUGCCUUGGGGUCGGGGACAACCACUGGAAACGGUGGCUAAUACCGGAUACGCCUUCGGGUAAAAGAUUUAUUGCCCUAAGAGGAGCUCGCGUCUGAUUAGCUAGUUGGUGAGGUAAGAGCUCACCAAGGCAGCGAUCAGUAGCUGGUCUGAGAGGACGAUCAGCCACACUGGGACUGAGACACGGCCCAGACUCCUACGGGAGGCAGCAGUGGGGAAUUUUCCGCAAUGGGCGAAAGCCUGACGGAGCAAGACCGCGUGAGGGAGGAAGUCUCUUGGGUUGUAAACCUCUUUUCUCAGGGAAGAAGCUCUGACGGUACCUGAGGAAUCAGCCUCGGCUAACUCCGUGCCAGCAGCCGCGGUAAUACGGAGGAGGCAAGCGUUAUCCGGAAUUAUUGGGCGUAAAGCGUCCGCAGGUGGCGAUUCAAGUCUGCUGUCAAAGCACGGGGCUUAACUCCGUAAAGGCAGUGGAAACUGAAUAGCUAGAGUGCCGUAGGGGUAGAGGGAAUUCCCGGUGUAGCGGUGAAAUGCGUAGAGAUCGGGAAGAACAUCGGUGGCGAAAGCGCUCUACUGGACGGCAACUGACACUCAGGGACGAAAGCUAGGGGAGCGAAUGGGAUUAGAUACCCC
RNAcentral lists this ribosomal RNA (660 nucleotides) under uncultured bacterium. Its description in RNAcentral is "bacterial SSU rRNA". It matches the Rfam family "Bacterial small subunit ribosomal RNA", at positions 94 to 788 of the family's 1533-position model. The record is from RNAcentral.